GCUGGGCUAUCUAGAAAAAUUGGUUUUUCUGGAAUACAAAAUCCUUGAGUUUAAAGAGUUUAAAUCAUCAUUCAAAGUUCAAGCACACUCUCUUUUUAACCAAUCUCACUCAUUCCCAUUUUCUUCCCUUUUUUCCUUUUUACAUGGAGUUCACUUUGCAUGCUUUUUCUCUUUUCUUCUUUUCUUUUCUUUCUCACGCAUUUUUCUUUUUUUUUAACUUUUGAACUCAAUGUUUUUCUUUUUCUUUUGCCUUUCACUUUCCCCAUACAACCCCAAACUUGAACAUUUUCAACACAUACAAUUAUUCU
RNAcentral lists this long non-coding RNA (308 nucleotides) under Vigna radiata. RNAcentral describes it as "long non-coding RNA (VRAD_LNC011840)". Lineage: Eukaryota; Viridiplantae; Streptophyta; Magnoliopsida; Fabales; Fabaceae. The record is from RNAcentral.